RNAcentral lists this ribosomal RNA (526 nucleotides) under uncultured bacterium. RNAcentral's name for it is "bacterial SSU rRNA". It matches the Rfam family "Bacterial small subunit ribosomal RNA", at positions 355 to 896 of the family's 1533-position model. The record is from RNAcentral.
UAGGGAAUAUUGGGCAAUGGGCAAAAGCCUGACCCAGCAACGCCGCGUGCACGAUGAAGGCCUUCGGGUUGUAAAGUGCUUUUUGGGGAGAUGAGGAAGGACAGUAUCCCCAGAAUAAGGAUCGGCUAACUACGUGCCAGCAGCCGCGGUAACACGUAGGAUUCGAGCGUUAUCCGAAUUUACUGGGCGUAAAGCGUGUGCAGGCGGUUUGGUAAGUUGGAUGUGAAAGCUCCUGGCUCAACUGGGAGAGGCCGUUCAAAACUACCAGACUAGAGGACAGUAGAGGGAGAUGGAAUUCCCGGUGUAGUAGUGAAAUGCGUAGAUAUCGGGAGGAACACCAGUGGCGAAGGCGGUCUCCUGGACUGUUUCUGACGCUUAGACACGAAAGCUAGGGUAGCGAAUGGGAUUAGAAACCCCAGUAGUCCUAGCCGUAAACGAUGUAGACUGGGUGUCGGUGGGGUAAAAGCCAUCGGUACCGAAGCUAACGCGAUAAGUCUACCGCCUGGGGACUACGGCCGCAAGGUUA